Molecule: ribosomal RNA, 368 nt
Filed under: uncultured organism
Description: bacterial SSU rRNA
Rfam family: Bacterial small subunit ribosomal RNA
Source: RNAcentral
CGAAGGAUCCAAGCGUUAUCCGGAUUUAUUGGGUUUAAAGGGUGCGUAGGCGGGCUAUUAAGUCAGUGGUGAAAGCCCCAAGCUUAACUUGGGAAUUGCCAUUGAUACUGAUGGUCUUGAGUACACUUGAAGUGGGCGGAAUGUGUCAUGUAGCGGUGAAAUGCUUAGAUAUGACGCAGAACACCGAUUGCGAAGGCAGCUCACUAAAUUGUAACUGACGCUGAGGCACGAAAGCGUGGGGAUCAAACAGGAUUAGAUACCCUGGUAGUCCACGCCCUAAACGAUGAUUACUCGAUGUGUGCAAUACACCGUACGCGUCUGAGCGAAAGCAUUAAGUAAUCCACCUGGGGAGUACGACCGCAAGGUUG